UCUCACACUCUCUCUCGUGACCAAACAUCUUCUUCCUCUUUCUUUCUCUCUCUUUCUUCUUCCAUUCCAAAUCUUUCUGUGUACUCAUAAUUAACAUUUAUUCUGAAAGAAGAAAACUUCAGAAAACAUUAGUAAUUAUGUACUCAAUCCUUCAGAUCAUCUCGACGUCGGCACUGUCACUCACUGGUACCACUACUCUUACGGCUUGACAUCGGCGCUGUCACUCACCAGUACCACUACUCCUACGGUGGCGUUUAGAUGGACUUUGACCAUUUCCAACGAAAAGAAAUUCACCUUCACUUUCCGACCUACUGAAUUCGAUUCAAAAGUUAGACAGUCGAUCUGAACCGCGGUGAGAGCUCCAAGAAAGAAAUUGAUUAAGAUCUUCCCAAAUAUCUUCCUGAGGCAUUUUGAUGGUUUGGUGACGACCACCAUGAAGAUGAUGGAGGUGCUAGUUGAUCUAGUGAACAGUUGCAGAUUGUUGAAUCAUUAAAAAGAUUUAGAAGGUUUGAAGUUUAAGAAGAGGAAAAAUUGACCCUAUGAGUGGUACCAAAAACACAAUAAGUGAUGAUUUGAAGAUUUAAGAAGAUCGAUUGAUUUGAAAUGGAGUUUAUUCUUGAUAAAUGUUGAAAACAUUGGGAAAGCAAGAGAUAGAUAAAAGAGAUGUAAAUUCGGGAAAGAAAAAGAAAAAGGUGAAAACUUAGGAUAGGGGUAAAACGGAAAAAGAAGACACAGUUAUCUACAGUGGACAUUGGUUUUUUGUGGUUUUGGGUAGUUAGCUAAUUUUGUUCUCAUUUGUGUAUAUCUAGCAAAUUGUCUCUAUAAAUUAAUAUAAAUUAUAUAUAUACA
Raphanus sativus (radish) is the source of this 849-nucleotide long non-coding RNA. RefSeq lists it as uncharacterized. NCBI's taxonomy places the organism in Eukaryota, Viridiplantae, Streptophyta, Magnoliopsida, Brassicales, Brassicaceae. The transcript is spliced from 2 exons. The record is from RefSeq and is a predicted model, not a curated record.